UACUGCAGCCAAUCUACACUACAAGGACCCAUAUGACUAGAGACCAUGUGUAUGUGCAGUAAAACUACAAUAACCUCACUGUGAGCAGCCGAAGCACCGCAGGUCAAAGGACCAGUCAUACUACUGCAACAUCAAGCAAGUCACUGACGAGUGGAUAGACAUCCAAGUGACUUUUUAUUUUGGUCACGCUCAGUACCCUUGUUCUCUAACAAGCACCUGCACUAUCACUUCAGUGUUCCCACACUGUGGACUCGAGUCUCGUCCAUCCAUAAGGAAA
Molecule: long non-coding RNA, 277 nt
Filed under: Phoenix dactylifera (date palm)
Lineage: Eukaryota; Viridiplantae; Streptophyta; Magnoliopsida; Arecales; Arecaceae
Description: long non-coding RNA (PDAC_LNC006737)
Source: RNAcentral